GCCCUCGUGGCCCAGAGGUUAAAGGCGUAUCACUUGUAAUGAUAAGAUCACCCGUUCGAAUCGGGUCGGGGGCA
Molecule: transfer RNA, 74 nt
Filed under: Sporisorium scitamineum
Lineage: Eukaryota; Fungi; Basidiomycota; Ustilaginomycetes; Ustilaginales; Ustilaginaceae
Description: tRNA-Thr (TGT) (tRNA-Thr-TGT-1-1)
Rfam family: tRNA
About the family: Transfer RNA (tRNA) molecules are approximately 80 nucleotides in length. Their secondary structure includes four short double-helical elements and three loops (D, anti-codon, and T loops). Further hydrogen bonds mediate the characteristic L-shaped molecular structure. tRNAs have two regions of fundamental functional importance: the anti-codon, which is responsible for specific mRNA codon recognition, and the 3' end, to which the tRNAs corresponding amino acid is attached (by aminoacyl-tRNA synthetases). tRNAs cope with the degeneracy of the genetic code in two manners: having more than one tRNA (with a specific anti-codon) for a particular amino acid; and 'wobble' base-pairing, i.e. permitting non-standard base-pairing at the 3rd anti-codon position.
Source: RNAcentral